RNAcentral lists this transfer RNA (75 nucleotides) under bacterium. RNAcentral describes it as "tRNA-Arg". It matches the Rfam family "tRNA". From Rfam's summary of the family: Transfer RNA (tRNA) molecules are approximately 80 nucleotides in length. Their secondary structure includes four short double-helical elements and three loops (D, anti-codon, and T loops). The record is from RNAcentral.
CCUCUCGUCGUUCAACGGAUAGGACGUCAGCUUGCGGAGCUGGCAAUGCAGGUUCGAUUCCUGCCGAGGGGACUA